GUGCCAGCCGCCGCGGUAAUACGUAGGGGGCAAGCGUUGUCCGGAAUUAUUGGGCGUAAAGAGCUCGUAGGCGGCUUAGUAAGUCGGCUGUGAAAUACCGGGGCUCAACCCCGGAACUGCAGUCGAUACUGCUGUGGCUAGAGUCUGGUAGAGGAGAAUGGAAUUCCCGGUGUAGCGGUGGAAUGCGCAGAUAUCGGGAGGAACACCAGUAGCGAAGGCGGUUCUCUGGGCCAGUACUGACGCUGAGGAGCGAAAGCGUGGGUAGCAAACAGGAUUAGAUACCCCAGUAGUCC
RNAcentral lists this ribosomal RNA (293 nucleotides) under uncultured bacterium. RNAcentral describes it as "partial 16S ribosomal RNA". It matches the Rfam family "Bacterial small subunit ribosomal RNA", at positions 505 to 796 of the family's 1533-position model. The record is from RNAcentral.